RNAcentral lists this long non-coding RNA (360 nucleotides) under Manihot esculenta (cassava). RNAcentral describes it as "long non-coding RNA (MESC_LNC010323)". Lineage: Eukaryota; Viridiplantae; Streptophyta; Magnoliopsida; Malpighiales; Euphorbiaceae. The record is from RNAcentral.
AAUAACACAAGUUGAAUAUGGUUACUGGAGGUGCAAGACCAUCAUCAUCCAAUUUAUCAUGAGACCCUUGCCGCAUGCCUUGUAGAAGAAGUUCAGAGUUGAAUGCUCAAUUACCUUUUUCAAAGAAACAAGGAAUACACAGUUAAAAACUAAUGAUCACCAUUGUAUUAGUUCUGUCUGGAUGCCCAAAUUCCUCUCCUCAUCGCUGUAAUUUGAAGGGAGUUGAGAAAAACAGUACCUAUAUGAACGGAAGGAAAGUGAUCUGAAUAAUCCACGGUCAAUUGAUGAUUGGUUUGUAAUAAUAGAAUCUUCUUGGUUGUAUCCAGAAUAGCAUGCAAUGGCAACAAUAGUAUUCUGAGG